CACNAGGAACACCAACAUCAGGUGGCCUCAGUACUGGCAGUAUCCUUCUAAUCAUAUUUUUUCCUUUGCUUCUUAUGUACCUCAUCAUCGGAAUGUUGAUAAACCGUUAUGGCCGUGGAAUACAGAGCAUGCCUGAAUUACUACCAAAUCAUUCCUUCUGGGCCGACUUUCCCUUUCUUGUUAAGGAUGGAGUUGUAUUCACUUGUGGCUGUAUCAAGGGUGUGUGUUCUUCCCUUUAUCGGAAAUGCAAUAAAGACGGGUACGCCGAGAUAUAGGGAGAGAUUUCUAGUUUUGUUCCCGGAAAGACAUGGAUGCCUUUAACUUUGCAGUCCCUCAAUUUUUCAGUCUCUGGUGAUAAUAUUAAAUUAACAGAUAGAUUCCAUGUUGCCGCGCGUCUGUUCAGUAAUUGGUGGCACACGAUCGAUGUGACUGACACUUUUACCACCUUUGGACAUCAUCUGUGAUCAAUUACUAAACAGACAUACGGCAACAUAGAAUCUACUUGUUCUGUAUAACAAAGAAACCAAAAAAUGUAAAUGACGCCGUUUAUUUACUUCUGUAAGAUAUUGGAGGAGAAUAGUAAAAUGCGAGAAUGAUUAGAUAUAUUUUGCAAUGGAAUUUUAUCAUGGAAAACGUCAUAAUAUAUAUCAUUAUGUUAAAUUCUCAAACCCUUAGGAAGUCUUAUUAGUGUUACAAUGUGAGAACGUUAAUAAGAACUUUUAUGUUGAGAUCUUAAGGGACUUAUGUAGGAAUUUGAAAAUUAUCGCACAAGAAUGUUUUUGCUAGUAACACUCUGAUUUGUACUGUAUCUGUAACAUAUUACACAUUGUUUGAAACUUGUUAUACAAGGUAGAAAGGUUAACUUCCCUGACAUACCAUAAAUUGCUGGAGACUUUAUACAAAGCAGAAACGUGAAAUACAAUUCCCGGCACAGCUAUGGGGGCAUCCUUGCUGACGUCACAGCUUACAUUUUGCCUCACAUCAUGCUCUUUGGUGUACUAUUCAAGGAGAAAUUGCCUUUCAUAAACUGUAAAAUGUGUUGGUGGCAAAAGCACUAAUGUUGUCAUACUAUCUUUGUAAAUUUCCAGUUUCUAAACCCGCGUCGUACAAAAAGCAUUAACACAUUGUGUUCAGAUUCCUUGGCAGAGUUAUUCGUGUCAUGACCUUUCAACAUUCAGAUCCAAGUUUUAUUUUUGUAGCUCCAUCAGCAACUGAAUUGCUUAUGUUAAUGAGGCAAAUGUUGCAAGCAAAGAUUCCCCUAUAGGUUUGAAUACAUGUAUCUUUGUUGGCGCUAUGCCUUUCUCUCCUUUCCCUCCUUUGUUAGGUGUUUUGAAACGUUGAAGGGAGCGAGAGAGAAAGUGCCCAACUAAUUGUAUCUGAGAUCGUAGCCUUUAUUUCUUGCAUGUGUCAAUACAGUGUGUCGUUUGUAAUA
Long non-coding RNA from Orbicella faveolata, 1432 nucleotides. The record is from RefSeq and is a predicted model, not a curated record. Lineage: Eukaryota; Metazoa; Cnidaria; Anthozoa; Scleractinia; Merulinidae.